GUGCCAGCAGCCGCGGUAAUACAGAGGUCUCAAGCGUUGUUCGGAUUCAUUGGGCGUAAAGGGUGCGCAGGCUGUUGUGUAAGUCGGAUGUGAAAUCCCGGGGCUCAACCCCGGAACUGCAUUCGAUACUGCAUGACUAGAGGACUGGAGAGGAGAUUGGAAUUUACGGUGUAGCAGUGAAAUGCGUAGAUAUCGUAAGGAAGACCAGUGGCGAAGGCGAAUCUCUGGACAGUUCCUGACGCUCAUGCACGAAGGCUAGGGGAGCAAACGGGAUUAGAAACCCCCGUAGUCC
This 292-nucleotide ribosomal RNA is filed under the name uncultured bacterium. Its description in RNAcentral is "partial 16S ribosomal RNA". It matches the Rfam family "Bacterial small subunit ribosomal RNA", at positions 505 to 796 of the family's 1533-position model. The record is from RNAcentral.